Molecule: transfer RNA, 76 nt
Filed under: Gammaproteobacteria bacterium
Lineage: Bacteria; Pseudomonadati; Pseudomonadota; Gammaproteobacteria
Also listed under: 8 other names
Description: tRNA-Thr
Rfam family: tRNA
About the family: Transfer RNA (tRNA) molecules are approximately 80 nucleotides in length. Their secondary structure includes four short double-helical elements and three loops (D, anti-codon, and T loops).
Source: RNAcentral
GCCGGCGUAGCUCAGCUGGUAGAGCAGCUGAUUUGUAAUCAGCUGGUCGGGGGUUCGAAUCCUCUCGCCGGCUCCA